Molecule: non-coding RNA, 321 nt
Organism: Vicia faba (fava bean)
Lineage: Eukaryota; Viridiplantae; Streptophyta; Magnoliopsida; Fabales; Fabaceae
Source: the annotation of a GenBank genome assembly
UCAGUCAAAAACCAAUCUUCAAGUCUUCACACAGUACUUUUUGUCGGGUGUAGAACCCCAUUCCUUUCUUUCUCUCUCUCCAUGUCUCAGAAAUUUCUUGUCUGUCUUCUCAGUUAUCACCAUCUAUCACUUUCUGAUUUCACCUUUCUUCAUUAUCACACACCUUACAGGCUUACACAAGAAGUAACCAAACUCAACAUUAACUUACACUCCCAAACAGUGUCUCUUUCACACUAUUAUUCACUGUUCAAUUCAACUACACCACCACUUUCUUUUCCUGCAUCACAAACAAACACGAGCUUAAUAAAAGCCAUGCAGUGA